AAUCCGUUGACUUUUAAAAUCGUGAGGGUUCAAGUCCCUCUAUCCCCAAC
Molecule: transfer RNA, 50 nt
Filed under: Parrya arctica
Lineage: Eukaryota; Viridiplantae; Streptophyta; Magnoliopsida; Brassicales; Brassicaceae
Description: partial tRNA-Leu
Source: RNAcentral